GGGAACACAAAAUUCUCUAACACAACCUCGCCCAGGCCUUACAAGAAUUUCCCCAGAAUUCAGCAGAGUACAGCACUUUUGACUGUUGGUUGAAUUUCUGUUUAUCCUGCUUCUCUUCUAAAUGGCUCUGCAGGUGAAGAACAAGAUCCCUGGAGAGGAUUAGCUGCCUGCCUGAGGUUACACAGCAAGAAGGGUCUGUUGGAACUCAAAGUCUCACCUCUCCGAUGGCCCAGGAGCAGUGAGACCCAGCAGAGGCAGGGUGGGGAGAGAAGGACCUCUGUUAUCAGGGAUCUACGCUGAGUCUUGGAGAAGCUGGCUAACUCACUCAAGGUUCUCCAAAGUCAUUAUCACGGCUCCAAGUUUUUGUUAGGAACAUCUAGCCUGGGGCAUGGCAACCUUGGCACUAUUGACAUUUGGAGCAGGAUGAAUCUCUGUGGUCAGCUGCCCUGCCCAUCACAGGACAACUUUAACAACAUCCAUGGACCUUACCUUCUACAUGUUAGCAGCUCCUCCUCCACCUGAAGUGACCAUGAAAAAUGUCACCAGAUUCCGCCAAAUGUCUCUUCCAAAUAACACUUCAUUGAGAACACUGAAGUGAACACAGAUUGUCUUUAUGCACCGAGGAACAGAUUGGCAACUCCAGACAACCUUGAAAAGCUUUGGGCCUGGAGGACCACUCUCUUGGAUUCGACUGGGCCAUUUUCCAGCUCCGGACCCAGGAUUUUGUCACUUGGCCUCAAGAAUGAGAAUGACAACUCGUGUGCAUUGGGCUUCAGCAUUUUCCAGGCACAGAGCCACAGUGUGCACCCCCGUGCAGUCAUGUUACCAUGCCAGAGGAAGAACCUGACUGCCCUUCAUCCUACCCCCACUUUUAGGUAUUCAUCUCUCAGCUCCUUCUCUGUAGAGAUGAGUGAAUGCAGAAUGAGCACAGAGGCCCCGGAGUCCAAGAGUGCAAGACACUUGCAAACAUAAAGCUCCCUAUCAUUUCCAA
Molecule: non-coding RNA, 991 nt
Organism: Peromyscus maniculatus bairdii (prairie deer mouse)
Lineage: Eukaryota; Metazoa; Chordata; Mammalia; Rodentia; Cricetidae
Source: RefSeq, a predicted model, not a curated record